UAGGGAAUCUUCCGCAAUGGGCGAAAGCCUGACGGAGCAACGCCGCGUGAGUGAUGAAGGUCUUCGGAUCGUAAAAAUCUGUUAUUAGGGAAGAACAAAUGUGUAAGUAACUAUGCACGUCUUGACGGUACCUAAUCAGAAAGCCACGGCUAACUACGUGCCAGCAGCCGCGGUAAUACGUAGGUGGCAAGCGUUAUCCGGAAUUAUUGGGCGUAAAGCGCGCGUAGGCGGUUUUUUAAGUCUGAUGUGAAAGCCCACGGCUCAACCGUGGAGGGUCAUUGGAAACUGGGAAACUUGAUUGCAGAAGAGGAAAGUGGAAUUCCAUGUGUAGCGGUGAAAUGCGCAGAGAUAUGGAGGAACACCAGUAGCGAAGGCGACUUUCUGGUCUGUAACUGACGCUGAUGUGCGAAAGCAUGGUGAUCAAACAGG
RNAcentral lists this ribosomal RNA (429 nucleotides) under Actinomycetes bacterium. RNAcentral describes it as "Actinobacteria bacterium partial 16S ribosomal RNA". It matches the Rfam family "Bacterial small subunit ribosomal RNA", at positions 355 to 776 of the family's 1533-position model. Lineage: Bacteria; Bacillati; Actinomycetota; Actinomycetes. The record is from RNAcentral.